This 459-nucleotide ribosomal RNA is filed under the name uncultured bacterium. RNAcentral describes it as "partial 16S ribosomal RNA". It matches the Rfam family "Bacterial small subunit ribosomal RNA", at positions 338 to 795 of the family's 1533-position model. The record is from RNAcentral.
CCUACGGGAGGCAGCAGUGAGGAAUAUUGGUCAAUGGUCGGGAGACUGAACCAGCCAAGCCGCGUGAGGGAUGAAGGUACAGAGUAUCGUAAACCUCUUUUGUCAGGGAACAAAGGCGGGUACGUGUCCCCGGCUGAGUGUACCUGAAGAAUAAGCAUCGGCUAACUCCGUGCCAGCAGCCGCGGUAAUCCGGAGGAUUCGAGCGUUAUCCGGAUUUAUUGGGUUUAAGGGGUGCGCAGGCGGUCUGUAAAGUCAGCGGUAAAAGCCCGGGGCUCAACCCCGGCACGCCGUUGAAACUGGCAGGCUAGAGUGGGAGAGAAGUAUGCGGAAUGCGCGGUGUAGCGGUGAAAUGCAUAGAUAUCGCGCAGAACUCCGAUUGCGAAGGCAGCAUGCCGGCUCCAAACUGACGCUGAGGCACGAAAGCGUGGGUAUCGAACAGGAUUAGAUACCCCUGUAGUC